UAUCGGGAUAGGACUAAGACAUGCUAGUUGAGCGCUUCCAGCCAAAACGGGAGCGCAGCGCACAGCUCAGUAACACGUGGCUAAUCUGCCCUUGGGACCGGAACACCCCCGGGAAACUGGGGCUAAUUCUCGAUAGGUGAAGAACUCUGGAAUGAGUCUUUGCCAAAAAGACGUUUACGUUAUGCUCGUAGACGUCGCCCAAGGAUGAGGCCGCGACCGACCAGGUUGUUGGUGAGGUAAUGGCUCACCAAGCCUUUUACCGGUGCGGGCCGUGAGAGCGGGAGCCCGGAGAUGGGCACUGAGACAAGGGCCCAGGCCCUACGGGGCGCAGCAGUCGCGAAAACUUUGCAAUACACGAAAGUGUGACAGGGCUAUCCCGAGUGCCAUCCGCUGAGGAAGGCUUUUACCCAGUCUAGAACGCUGGGGGAAUAAGGAGAGGGCAAGUCU
Molecule: ribosomal RNA, 447 nt
Filed under: uncultured archaeon CR-PA12a
Lineage: Archaea
Description: bacterial SSU rRNA
Rfam family: Archaeal small subunit ribosomal RNA
Source: RNAcentral